This 1382-nucleotide long non-coding RNA is filed under the name Ananas comosus (pineapple). Its description in RNAcentral is "long non-coding RNA (ACOM_LNC023837)". Lineage: Eukaryota; Viridiplantae; Streptophyta; Magnoliopsida; Poales; Bromeliaceae. The record is from RNAcentral.
AAAAUUAAGCUCGUGUUCAGCUCAUUAAUAAAUGAAGAUUUGGACAGCAAUAUUCUUAAUAGUAUCAGCUAGGGGUGUCAACGAGCCGAACGCGGGCGAGCUGAUUUGUUAAAGUAUCAAGCCGAAAAAUUAAGCUCGUGUUCGGCUCAUUAAUAAACGACCUGUAUACAAGCUGGCACACGAACAACAAGUUAAAAAAUUUAAAAAUGAUAUGCAUAGAAAAUAAAUUUAUGAGAUCUUAUGCAUUAGACUUUAAUCCAAUGGUUGAAACUUUAUAUAUUAAUGGGACUUUUUAUAACUGAAUUAGGUUUUAUAUUUAUGUUGGGCUAAAAUAAAAUAAUAAAAAUCUGUAUUUUAUAUAUACAAUUAUUUAUUUAUAUAUAUAAAUCUAAAAUAUAUAAACUAUAUAAAUAUAAAAUAUAUGUAUUCAAACUGUUAUCGAACCGAACACGAGCGAGUUGGCCUAAGCUCGUGUUCAGCUUAUUUAUUAAACAAGAAAAAUUCAGCUCGUGUUCGGUUUGUUUAUUAAACAAGAAAAGUUCAGCUCGUGUUCGACUCAUUUACUAAAUGAGCGAUUCGAUCUCGAGUUCAUUUCGAGUUGAACAUGAGCUGGCUCGCAAACAGCGAGUUGGAUUAAUUACCACCCCUAGUAUCAGCUAUGGCUCCGUUAAAUUAUUUUUAUCUUUGGAUCAAUAUUUUUCCACCAACCACCAACUAAACUCUUUAAAUCUAUAUACUCUAGUAGGACCAUUGUCAUCUGAACUCUAUAAUUUUUCAUUCAAAAGUUAUAAAUUUAGUAGUAAAAAAAAUUUAAAUACUAUUAAUAGUAUUUCAGCACAACUUUAUACAUUUAGUUGCAUGCGUGCACAUUGAUAGCAUUUAAAAAAAGGGCUAAAUGCAUUCAUGUCCUUGCAAAAAUAGUAAAUUGCAAAUAUGUCCCAACAAAGUUCAACUUUCAUAAAUUGUUCUUACAAAAGUUUUAAUAUUUUCAAAUAUAUUCCUCUGGCUUAUUAUCGUUAUAAAACUAUUUAUAUUUUAAGUGAAAUGUCAAUUUUGUCAUCACAAAUAUUUUCUUGAAAAAACCACAAUAGUAUAAUAUAAGAGGGGCAAAAAUGUCAAGUUAUUUUAUAAAUUAACUAGAGUUAAACAUUUAACCUCUGGCUAACUAAAGUUUUCUAAUGAAUUCUAACGGCAGUAAUUAUUUGAAAAUAUUAGAAUUUUUAUAUUUACAUGAGCAACAUAUGAAAGUUAAAUUUUGUAGAGAUAUAUUUACAAUUUAGUACGUCUGUAGAGAACUCUGGGGAAGAACAGGUAUUUCGAAAAGAAAAAGAAAAAGGCCAAAAAAAAAAAAAGUAAAAAAAAGAUAAAAAUUUGAAGUAAGA